This 465-nucleotide ribosomal RNA is filed under the name uncultured bacterium. Its description in RNAcentral is "partial 16S ribosomal RNA". It matches the Rfam family "Bacterial small subunit ribosomal RNA", at positions 30 to 507 of the family's 1533-position model. The record is from RNAcentral.
UGACCGCUGACAGAAUGCUUAACACAUGCAAGUCAACUUGAAUUUGGGUUUUUAACUUAGGUUUGGGUGGCGGACGGGUGAGUAACGCGUAAAGAACUUGCCUCACAGCUAGGGACAACAUUUGGAAACGAAUGCUAAUACCUAAUAUUAUGAUAAUAGGGCAUCCUAUAAUUAUGAAAGCUAUAAGCGCUGUGAGAGAGCUUUGCGUCCCAUUAGCUAGUUGGAGAGGUAACGGCUCACCAAGGCGAUGAUGGGUAGCCGGCCUGAGAGGGUGAUCGGCCACAAGGGGACUGAGACACGGCCCUUACUCCUACGGGAGGCAGCAGUGGGGAAUAUUGGACAAUGGACCGAGAGUCUGAUCCAGCAAUUCUGUGUGCACGAUGAAGUUUUUCGGAAUGUAAAGUGCUUUCAGUUGGGAAGAAACAAAUGACGGUACCAACAGAAGAAGUGACGGCUAAAUACGUG